UAGGGAAUUUUCGGCAAUGGGCGAAAGCCUGACCGAGCAACGCCGCGUGAGUGAAGAAGGCCUUCGGGUUGUAAAGCUCUGUUGUGAAGGAAGAACGGCUCAUACAGGGAAUGGUAUGGGAGUGACGGUACUUUACCAGAAAGCCACGGCUAACUACGUGCCAGCAGCCGCGGUAAUACGUAGGUGGCGAGCGUUAUCCGGAAUUAUUGGGCGUAAAGGGUGCGCAGGCGGUUUUUUAAGUUUAAGGUGAAAGCGUGGGGCUUAACCCCAUAUAGCCUUAGAAACUGAGAGACUAGAGUACAGGAGAGGGCAAUGGAAUUCCAUGUGUAGCGGUAAAAUGCGUAGAUAUAUGGAGGAACACCAGUGGCGAAGGCGGUUGCCUGGCCUGUAACUGACGCUCAUGCACGAAAGCGUGGGGAGCAAAUAGG
This 428-nucleotide ribosomal RNA is filed under the name uncultured bacterium. Its description in RNAcentral is "bacterial SSU rRNA". It matches the Rfam family "Bacterial small subunit ribosomal RNA", at positions 355 to 776 of the family's 1533-position model. The record is from RNAcentral.